RNAcentral lists this ribosomal RNA (426 nucleotides) under Triticum aestivum (bread wheat). RNAcentral's name for it is "partial small subunit ribosomal RNA". The record is from RNAcentral. Lineage: Eukaryota; Viridiplantae; Streptophyta; Magnoliopsida; Poales; Poaceae.
AUGUCCAGGGCCACGGCUACGCCAACUACUUUAAGCCACCCAAGCACAAUUUUCCUCGUUUCUCAGGCGAAAACCCCAGGCUCUUUCGACCUCGCUGUUACCUACUUUGACAUGUACCAUAUUCCUGUGCAUCAGUGGGUUUCCACAGCCACUCUGUACUUGGAUGGGCAUGCCGCACUGUGGUGCCAGGCGUUCAAACGUCGGCGGCGUAAUUGGCACUGGAAUGAGUUUACUAGCGAGAUUGAAUUGGAGUUUGGUCACGGUGAAUUUGAGUCUCACAUGACAAAUAUUCUGAAACUGAAACAACAGGGCACAGUUCUGGAGUAUAAAACUGAAUUUGAGAUAGCCAUGUAUCACCUGAUUGCUAUCGAUCCUUCUCUGAACUCAAAAAAUUUCAUCUCAGUUUUUGUUGGGCCUCAAGGAUGA